UGCAUUGAGCUUUUGGUAACCUGAUGGAGU
RNAcentral lists this non-coding RNA (30 nucleotides) under Rattus norvegicus (Norway rat). Lineage: Eukaryota; Metazoa; Chordata; Mammalia; Rodentia; Muridae. The record is from RNAcentral.